AGGCGGAGUCUUGGGCAAUUGCCGGCAAUCUUAAGAGGCAUUGCACUUGUCUCGGUCUGA
Hucho hucho (huchen) is the source of this 60-nucleotide microRNA precursor. NCBI's taxonomy places the organism in Eukaryota, Metazoa, Chordata, Actinopteri, Salmoniformes, Salmonidae. The record is from Ensembl.